This 254-nucleotide unclassified non-coding RNA is filed under the name Archaeorhizomyces sp. Its description in RNAcentral is "partial contains 5.8S ribosomal RNA, internal transcribed spacer 2, and large subunit ribosomal RNA". The stretch from base 1 to 69 matches the Rfam family "5.8S ribosomal RNA", at positions 84 to 154 of the family's 154-position model. Lineage: Eukaryota; Fungi; Ascomycota; Archaeorhizomycetes; Archaeorhizomycetales; Archaeorhizomycetaceae. The record is from RNAcentral.
GUGAGUCAUCGAAUCUUUGAACGCACAUUGCGCCUCCUGUAACAAGGAGGCAUGCCUGUCUGAGCGUCAUUUAAAUCAAUAAACCCAUCUGGGUUUGUGUUGGGCCCCGCCCAUAGGGCGUCGCCUCAAAGAAAUUGGUCUAAUGAGCGGAUGAGACCCAUUAGGGCUGACCGUUCAGAGACCCUAAGCCUCUGACUUGACCUCAGAUCAGGUAGGACUACCGCCUGAACUUAAGCAUAUCAAUAAGCGGAGGA